GGGUGACCUCAGAUCAGGUAGGGAUACCCGCUGAACUUAAGCAUAUCAAUAAGCGGAGGAAAAGAAACCAACAGGGAUUGCCCUAGUAACGGCGAGUGAAGCGGCAAAAGCUCAGAUUUGAAAUCUGUCGUCAUUCUGGCGGCCGAGUUGUAGUCUGUAGAGGUGUAUUCGAGUGUGGCUUUGGCUUAAGUUCCUUGGAACAGGGCGUCAUAGAGGGUGAGAACCCCGUUAACGGCCUUUGUCUUAUGCUCAUGUGAAUCUCCUUCAACGAGUCGAGUUGUUUGGGAAUGCAGCUCUAAAUGGGUGGUAAAUUCCAUCUAAAGCUA
Molecule: ribosomal RNA, 326 nt
Filed under: uncultured fungus
Lineage: Eukaryota; Fungi
Description: eukaryotic LSU rRNA
Rfam family: Eukaryotic large subunit ribosomal RNA
Source: RNAcentral